UACGUAGGGGGCGAGCGUUGUCCGGAUUUAUUGGGCGUAAAGAGCGUGUAGGCGGUUAGGUAGGUCCGUUGUGAAAACCCGGGGCUCAACCCCGGGCCUGCAGUCGAUACGGGCGGACUAGAGUUCGGCAGGGGAGACUGGAAUUCCUGGUGUAGCGGUGAAAUGCGCAGAUAUCAGGAGGAACACCGGUGGCGAAGGCGGCAUCCUGGACCAAUUCUGACGCUGAGGAGCGAAAGCCAGGGGAGCAAACGGG
RNAcentral lists this ribosomal RNA (253 nucleotides) under uncultured bacterium. RNAcentral's name for it is "partial 16S ribosomal RNA". It matches the Rfam family "Bacterial small subunit ribosomal RNA", at positions 524 to 776 of the family's 1533-position model. The record is from RNAcentral.